This 336-nucleotide unclassified non-coding RNA is filed under the name soil metagenome. Its description in RNAcentral is "partial contains 5.8S ribosomal RNA, internal transcribed spacer 2, and large subunit ribosomal RNA". The stretch from base 1 to 120 matches the Rfam family "5.8S ribosomal RNA", at positions 35 to 154 of the family's 154-position model. The record is from RNAcentral.
GAUGAAGAACGCAGCAAAAUGCGAUAAGUAAUGUGAAUUGCAGAAUUCAGUGAAUCAUCGAAUCUUUGAACGCACAUUGCGCCCCUUGGUAUUCCAUGGGGCAUGCCUGUUCGAGCGUCAUUUGUACCUUCAAGCUCUGCUUGGUGUUGGGUGUUUGUCUCGCCUCUGCGUGUAGACUCGCCUCAAAAUAAUUGGCAGCCGGCGUAUUGAUUUCGGAGCGCAGUACAUCUCGCGCUUUGCACUCAUAACGACGACGUCCAAAAGUACAUUUUUACACUCUUGACCUCGGAUCAGGUAGGGAUACCCGCUGAACUUAAGCAUAUCAUAAGCGGAGGA